This 1562-nucleotide ribosomal RNA is filed under the name Vibrio parahaemolyticus. RNAcentral describes it as "bacterial SSU rRNA". It matches the Rfam family "Bacterial small subunit ribosomal RNA". RNAcentral also lists the same sequence under 1 other name. The record is from RNAcentral. Lineage: Bacteria; Pseudomonadati; Pseudomonadota; Gammaproteobacteria; Vibrionales; Vibrionaceae.
AAAUUGAAGAGUUUGAUCAUGGCUCAGAUUGAACGCUGGCGGCAGGCCUAACACAUGCAAGUCGAGCGGAAACGAGUUAUCAGAACCUUCGGGGGACGAUAACGGCGUCGAGCGGCGGACGGGUGAGUAAUGCCUAGGAAAUUGCCCUGAUGUGGGGGAUAACCAUUGGAAACGAUGGCUAAUACCGCAUGAUGCCUACGGGCCAAAGAGGGGGACCUUCGGGCCUCUCGCGUCAGGAUAUGCCUAGGUGGGAUUAGCUAGUUGGUGAGGUAAGGGCUCACCAAGGCGACGAUCCCUAGCUGGUCUGAGAGGAUGAUCAGCCACACUGGAACUGAGACACGGUCCAGACUCCUACGGGAGGCAGCAGUGGGGAAUAUUGCACAAUGGGCGCAAGCCUGAUGCAGCCAUGCCGCGUGUGUGAAGAAGGCCUUCGGGUUGUAAAGCACUUUCAGUCGUGAGGAAGGUAGUGUAGUUAAUAGCUGCAUUAUUUGACGUUAGCGACAGAAGAAGCACCGGCUAACUCCGUGCCAGCAGCCGCGGUAAUACGGAGGGUGCGAGCGUUAAUCGGAAUUACUGGGCGUAAAGCGCAUGCAGGUGGUUUGUUAAGUCAGAUGUGAAAGCCCGGGGCUCAACCUCGGAAUUGCAUUUGAAACUGGCAGACUAGAGUACUGUAGAGGGGGGUAGAAUUUCAGGUGUAGCGGUGAAAUGCGUAGAGAUCUGAAGGAAUACCGGUGGCGAAGGCGGCCCCCUGGACAGAUACUGACACUCAGAUGCGAAAGCGUGGGGAGCAAACAGGAUUAGAUACCCUGGUAGUCCACGCCGUAAACGAUGUCUACUUGGAGGUUGUGGCCUUGAGCCGUGGCUUUCGGAGCUAACGCGUUAAGUAGACCGCCUGGGGAGUACGGUCGCAAGAUUAAAACUCAAAUGAAUUGACGGGGGCCCGCACAAGCGGUGGAGCAUGUGGUUUAAUUCGAUGCAACGCGAAGAACCUUACCUACUCUUGACAUCCAGAGAACUUUCCAGAGAUGGAUUGGUGCCUUCGGGAACUCUGAGACAGGUGCUGCAUGGCUGUCGUCAGCUCGUGUUGUGAAAUGUUGGGUUAAGUCCCGCAACGAGCGCAACCCUUAUCCUUGUUUGCCAGCGAGUAAUGUCGGGAACUCCAGGGAGACUGCCGGUGAUAAACCGGAGGAAGGUGGGGACGACGUCAAGUCAUCAUGGCCCUUACGAGUAGGGCUACACACGUGCUACAAUGGCGCAUACAGAGGGCAGCCAACUUGCGAAAGUGAGCGAAUCCCAAAAAGUGCGUCGUAGUCCGGAUUGGAGUCUGCAACUCGACUCCAUGAAGUCGGAAUCGCUAGUAAUCGUGGAUCAGAAUGCCACGGUGAAUACGUUCCCGGGCCUUGUACACACCGCCCGUCACACCAUGGGAGUGGGCUGCAAAAGAAGUAGGUAGUUUAACCUUCGGGGGGACGCUUACCACUUUGUGGUUCAUGACUGGGGUGAAGUCGUAACAAGGUAGCGCUAGGGGAACCUGGCGCUGGAUCACCUCCUUAUACGAUGAU